UAGUGACUGUGUGUCGGGACACUCUACACCGUUGCACUACGGUGGGAUUAUCAAACACACUGACGAACUGUUCAGGAGCUUUUGAGUGACAGCAGGAUGAUGACUGCGGUGGCUCUGCUGUGCCUGGCUGCUCUGUGUGCAGCACGGAAGAGGACUGAACAGAACUCAGAAUGGGACAACAGCACAGAGGCAGAGAAGGUGAAUACUAGAGGCUGUGUCAACCUCACCCUGGUGUUGGACAACCUAGAGGUUUUACUAUCAUGAACCAAGUCAAAGACCUUCUCCUCAACGACCACAGCUCUGUGCUGCCUGACUACGGGAGUUGGGAUCCCUCCUCUACCAGGAUCCCUCCUCUACCAGGAUCCCUCCUCUACCAGGAUCCCUCCUCCACCAGGAUCCCUCUUCUACCAGGAUCCCUCCUCCACCAGGAUCCC
This is a long non-coding RNA of Oncorhynchus tshawytscha (Chinook salmon), 434 nucleotides long. RefSeq lists it as uncharacterized. The transcript has 4 exons. The record is from RefSeq and is a predicted model, not a curated record. Lineage: Eukaryota; Metazoa; Chordata; Actinopteri; Salmoniformes; Salmonidae.